GGGGAUUUAGCUCAGUGGUAGAGCGCUUGCCUAGCAAGCACAAGGCCCUGGGUUCGGUCCCCAGCUCCCCCC
Non-coding RNA from Rattus norvegicus (Norway rat), 72 nucleotides. The record is from Rfam. NCBI's taxonomy places the organism in Eukaryota, Metazoa, Chordata, Mammalia, Rodentia, Muridae.